RNAcentral lists this ribosomal RNA (463 nucleotides) under uncultured bacterium. Its description in RNAcentral is "partial 16S ribosomal RNA". It matches the Rfam family "Bacterial small subunit ribosomal RNA", at positions 339 to 795 of the family's 1533-position model. The record is from RNAcentral.
CUACGGGAUGCACCAGUGGGGAAUAUUGGACAAUGGGCGCAAGCCUGAUCCAGCAAUACCGCGUGUGUGAAGAAGGCCUGCGGGUUGUAAAGCACUUUCAAUUGUGAAGAAAAGCGAGGGCUUAAUACGCUCUUGUCUUGACGUUAACUUUAGAAGAAGCACCGGCUAACUCUGUGCCAGCAGCCGCGGUAAUACAGAGGGUGCGAGCGUUAAUCGGAAUUACUGGGCGUAAAGCGUACGUAGGCGGUUUAGUAAGUCAGAUGUGAAAGCCCUGGGCUCAACCUGGGAACUGCAUUUGAACUGAGAGACUAGAGUGUGGUAGAGGGAAGUGGAAGUCCGGGUGUAGCGGUGAAAUGCGUAGAUAUCCGGAGGAACACCAGUGGCGAAGGCGACUUCCUGGACCAACACUGACGCUGAGGUACGAAAGCGUGGGUAGCAAACAGGCUUAGAUACCCUAGUAGUC